Mesocricetus auratus (golden hamster) is the source of this 1628-nucleotide long non-coding RNA. RefSeq lists it as uncharacterized. The record is from RefSeq and is a predicted model, not a curated record. The transcript is spliced from 2 exons. Lineage: Eukaryota; Metazoa; Chordata; Mammalia; Rodentia; Cricetidae.
AUUGAUUGACGGAUGGGUUGAAUGAUAGAAAGAUGAGUGGUGGUCUGUGUCAGCGUAUGACGAACAGUUCCCACUUCCACUUAGCGUGGAAGCUCUGCACGUUGGGACCCUGAGGGCAGCAUGGGUGUCUGAGCUGGAGGUCUUUACCUGUCUAUGGUCAUCCCUCCCCCGAGUCACAAUUCUUAAUAAUGCAGCAGAGUCUUUCUAGUUACAUGUCCAGCCCUCGGUACGCCAACCUCAGCUCCAGAAAUUGUGUUGGCCAGUAUCUCUGAGGGUGUCUGGUGUUGGCCACUAUCUCUUUGAGGGUGUCUGGUGUUGGCCAGCCCCCCGUGCCCGGGCCAUCUUCAGCCUAAGAACUGGGGCUUAGUGAGAGAUUAAUAAGUAUCUAGACCGAACUAAGACCCAAGUGGCCUUGGGUUCAAACUCUUCUUGAAGCCACAAAGACAGCAAUGACCCUCUUGGCAGGUCAUUUCUCUAAUCACAGUCCCCUGAGAAUGAUGGGUCUUAGGGGCAUCUCAAAACUGCAAGGAUUCCAGUCCCUUGCUAGGAACCCCACCUCCUCAUGCUCCCUGAGUAAAUCUAGACCCAGAGAUUAGGAAUUCCUACCACCACAUCCCCAAAGCACAAGGCAUGGAAAGGGAAGCCUUAGGCCUAGGCACCCAUUCCCAUGGGUUUGGGUUUCUAAAAGAUCAUCUAUGUCUUACAGAACAUCAGGAGCCAUUUCCCUGUGUGAUACUGGACCAGUCCCAGGACAUGCUGGAGGAAGAGACCCCGGGUGCCAGCCUGUGGCCCACCACUGUGACCUUCCUCACCCUCUUCCUACUUAGCCUAUUCUACAGUACAGCACUCACUGUGACAACAGUACGAGGUCCAUUUGGCAGCAAAGAGAUCCCCCAGUACUGACCAGAAACCAGGCAAAUGUGGCAGUCAUAGAGAUGACAUUAAGGAAAAGGAAGUAAAAGAUGACAACACUCCCUGGAUUUAACCCAAACUUCCACAAGCCAGUGCUGGGACUGUGGCAAAAAAUGAAGACACAGCCUAACUUCGGGAUGACACAGCCCAACUUCCAGAUGACACAGCCCAACUCCAGAUGACAUAGCCCAACUUCCGGAUGACACAGCCCAACUCUGGGAUGACACAGCACAACUUCCAGAUGACAUAGCCCAACUUCUGGAUGACAUAGCCCAACAUCCAGAUGACAUAGCCUAACUCCAGGAUGACAUAGCCCAACUCCAGGAUGACACAGCCCAACUCUGGGAUGACACAGCACAACUCCAGAUGACAUAGACCAACUCCAGGAUGGCAUAGCCCAACUCCAGAUGACAUAGCCCAACUCCAGGGUGACACAGCCCAACUCCAGGAUGACAUAGCCCAACUCCAGGAUGACAUAGCCCAACUCCAGGAUGACAUAGCCCAACUCCAGGGUGACAUAGCCUAACUCCAGGAUGACAUAGCCCAACUCCGGGAUGGCAUAACACAACUCCAGGAUCUCUUCUAGCUGAUCACUCUUGUCUUUGCGGGGAUGAAGUGUGGAGAAGGUCCCUACAUUUCAGAGCUAAGACCUAUGUGACAACUGCCCACCCCCCAACUCACACGCUUUCCUAAGCAAUAAACUGAUGUAAAAAGUA